ACAGCAGCCGCCGCGGUAAUACGUAGGUCCCGAGUGUUGUCCGGAUUUAUUGGGCGUAGAGCGAGCGCAGGCGGUUAGAUAAGUCUGAAGUUAAAGGCUGUGGCUUAACCAUAGUACGCUUUGGAAACUGUUUAACUUGAGUGCAAGAGGGGAGAGUGGAAUUCCAUGCGUAGCGGUGAAAUGCGUAGAUAUAUGGAGGAACACCGGUGGCGAAAGCGGCUCUCUGGCUUGUAACUGACGCUGAGGCUCGAAAGCGUGGGGAGCAAACAGGAUUAGAUACCCGGGUAGUCCCUGUCUCUUAUACA
RNAcentral lists this ribosomal RNA (305 nucleotides) under uncultured bacterium. Its description in RNAcentral is "partial 16S ribosomal RNA". It matches the Rfam family "Bacterial small subunit ribosomal RNA", at positions 508 to 808 of the family's 1533-position model. The record is from RNAcentral.